Molecule: ribosomal RNA, 253 nt
Filed under: uncultured bacterium
Lineage: Bacteria
Description: partial 16S ribosomal RNA
Rfam family: Bacterial small subunit ribosomal RNA
Source: RNAcentral
UACGAAGGGUGCAAGCGUUACUCGGAAUUACUGGGCGUAAAGCGUGCGUAGGCGGUUUGUUAAGUCAGAUGUGAAAGCCCCGGGCUCAACCUGGGAACUGCAUUUGAUCCUGGCGAGCUAGAGUACGGUAGAGGGUGGUGGAAUUCCCGGUGUAGCGGUGAAAUGCGUAGAGAUCGGGAGGAACAUCUGUGGCGAAGGCGGCCACCUGGACCAGUACUGACGCUGAGGCACGAAAGCGUGGGGAGCAAACAGG